AGUAAUGUAUGGGGAUCUGCCCGAUAGAGGGGGAUAACUACUGGAAACGGUGGCUAAUACCGCAUAAUGUCUACGGACCAAAGCAGGGGCUCUUCGGACCUUGCACUAUCGGAUGAACCCAUAUGGGAUUAGCUAGUAGGUGGGGUAAAGGCUCACCUAGGCGACGAUCUCUAGCUGGCCUGAGAGGAUGAUCAGCCACACUGGGACUGAGACACGGCCCAG
This 222-nucleotide ribosomal RNA is filed under the name uncultured bacterium. Its description in RNAcentral is "partial 16S ribosomal RNA". It matches the Rfam family "Bacterial small subunit ribosomal RNA", at positions 109 to 334 of the family's 1533-position model. The record is from RNAcentral.